This is a long non-coding RNA of Pipistrellus kuhlii (Kuhl's pipistrelle), 1355 nucleotides long. RefSeq lists it as uncharacterized. The record is from RefSeq and is a predicted model, not a curated record. The transcript has 3 exons. Lineage: Eukaryota; Metazoa; Chordata; Mammalia; Chiroptera; Vespertilionidae.
ACAGUUUUGCUUAUGAUUUCCAGAGGCAUAAGCAAAAAAUAACCCAGGCCACGUUAGCCUUGCACAAUAAGCUAAAUUACGCUUUGCUUGAACGAGUCAACUAAUUCCAUCUGCUCAGAGAAUUUUCAAGGCUGGUGUCUAUAUGUUUUUGAUAUUCCCAAUAUCACAUAUACAUGAUGCAUAUGUGUGUGACAUACCUCACAGUAACGAUGUAUAGCUGCAAGUGAUUAAAAACAAAAGGAAACAAGGCACCAUCCCUUCCCCGCAAGAUGCUCAGUGUUCCAGCGUGAUGAGUAAGCCCAGCAGGCUCUGAUAGUGCUGGUGGCUCUGUCUGUCUGGCUUAGUCCACUUAUCCUGACGUGAUCUUGUGCUCAGGUUGCAAAUGAAAAGGCUCCGCCAGGCUCAUCGACCCGGGCUGCAUGCAUUUGGAGCUUCAUGCCUACAAGCUCAAAUUGGGAUAUUUUACUGCUUUUAAAUGACGCGUGAUGAAGUGGUUGAAGACAUCAUUACAAGGAAUAAAAUCCAGCUGGGAGUGGGAUAUUAUUAACUACUUCGUACUUCCAGCUCUUGUGGGGGUGCUUAGUACUUGUACUGAAGAACUGCAGGGAAGCCGUGUCUAUUGCAAUAAAGGCUGUGUGUAGAGAAACAGUGGUGCCAUGACCAUAACAUAGACAUACAUGUUCAGGAAACCAGCGAGUGGGAGAGAGUCAGUGGAGGGUCCAGCUCUCCGCUGCAUUUUAGUGACUUAAUUAGCAUUCACUGAACCCUGGUAAAGAGGUUCUCCAUUUUCGCUGAAUAUUAGGAUCACCUGGGGAGCUUUUUAAACCAUCAGACUCGGGGCAGGAGCGCUCCAGGGAUUUCGAUGUAAUAUUUCUGGUUGGAGCCAGGCACCGGUGGUUUUUUUUAAAACGCCCAGAUGAUUCUAAUGGAGAGCCACAGACGAGAACAAAUGGCUUGGUACUUGAGGAGCAAAUAUCAAUUAGCAAGACACCUUUGUUGAUCCUCCGCCUUUUUAACGGUGCCCACGUGGGGGAUCGCCGUGAGCGGGAAAGAGGAAGCAACAGGCCGGAGAAUGCAAGGGAGGCCCAGCAACAGUAUCCUCACUGCUCCUUUGGGCUUUAAAACUCUCCUUACAGAAGUCCCUGUGUCCAGAUCCAGCCACAAACUUUGGAUAAUACAAGAAAGAAACCUCAAUUAAACCUAGUGUUUGGGGUCACCACAAGUCACCCAAGCAGGGAUGUAAAGAGGAUUUAACUUUUUGGAUGAAGAGCAGGCUCUACUCUAGGACAGCCUUGGCGACAUCUGGUGAUUCUGUAACCUGACAUCAGUUUUUCAGAUCAAGUGCACUUUCCUAG